RNAcentral lists this ribosomal RNA (274 nucleotides) under uncultured bacterium. RNAcentral describes it as "partial 16S ribosomal RNA". It matches the Rfam family "Bacterial small subunit ribosomal RNA", at positions 523 to 796 of the family's 1533-position model. The record is from RNAcentral.
CUACGGAGGGGGCUAGCGUUGUUCGGAAUUACUGGGCGUAAAGCGUACGUAGGCGGACUGAUCAGUUGGGGGUGAAAUCCCAGGGCUUAACCCUGGAACUGCCUUCAAUACUGUCAGUCUUGAGAUUGGAAGAGGUGAGUGGAAUUCCUAGUGUAGAGGUGAAAUUCAUAGAUAUUAGGAGGAACACCAGUGGCGAAGGCGGCUCACUGGUCCAAUACUGACGCUGAGGUACGAAAGCGUGGGGAGCAAACAGGAUUAGAUACCCUAGUAGUCC